Molecule: long non-coding RNA, 1340 nt
Filed under: Homo sapiens (human)
Lineage: Eukaryota; Metazoa; Chordata; Mammalia; Primates; Hominidae
Description: HSALNT0012093
Source: RNAcentral
UAAGAAAUUGCUUAGUUUUGAUGGUGUUCAUUUAGGAAUUCUUGAAAGAUUUAUAUUUGGCUCAUUGGCUGGUGUAACUGCCCAGACCUGUAUUUACCCCAUGGAGGUACUAAAGACCAGACUGGCUAUAGGUAAAACUGGAGAGUAUUCAGGGAUUAUUGAUUGUGGCAAGAAGCUUCUAAAACAAGAAGGUGUCAGAUCCUUUUUCAAAGGUUAUACUCCUAACUUGCUAGGCAUUGUACCUUAUGCCGGCAUAGAUCUUGCUGUUUAUGAGGUGAGUUUAUUCUCAUAAUAUGACAAUUAUAUGUUAGAUUUGCAAAUAUGGAACAACAAUUUUUAUUGUAGAAAUAUGGUUAUAAAUGACUUUUCAUUAAAACAGCUUCUGACAAAGAGUGAAUUGAAUGGUUUUAUUUGAUUUUUCAUUUUAUAUGUUACAUAUCUGGUAUUCUAGUAAUAAUUUUUUAUUUGGUUUUUUUUGUGAAUCAGUUUUUGGUAAUAAUAAUGUUAAGUUCUGAUAAAACAGUGGUUCUCAAUCCUGGAUGCAUAUCAGAAUCACAUACAUAUGGAUCUUUAAAAAAUAGGAUUCUUGGGCCACAUCCUGAGAUAUUCUCAUUUAAUUAUCCCGAGGAGGUGGAGUGCGGUGGCUCAGGCCUAUAAUUCCAGCACUUCAGGAGGCUGAGGGGGUUGGAUCCCUUGAGCCCAGGAGUUUGAGACCAGCCUUGGUAACAUAGUGAAAUCCCAUCUUGACCAAAAAUACAAAAAUUGGCCAGUCUCAUAACUUGGUCUCAAAAUAAAUAAAUAGAUUUAAAAUUUUUUAAAAAUUAUCCUGAGGAGAGGCCUAGGAUUCAGGUUUUUUAACUGCCCAGAAAAAUCUGUUGUAUAAGUAAGACUGUGAAAGCUGAGAUAUUAUCACACAGCUGUAAAAAUGAGAAUGGAGGAUAGGAGUAAUUGUGGCUUGAGGAAGAAAGGCAGGAUGGAGAUAGGACAAAAAAGCUGAUAGUGUAAUGCAGAGGCAGGAUGCCAGCUUACUCCCCUUUCAACUGAUCAUUUCAUUUCUAUGGCCAUACAUCUGUUUCAGGAAGAGCAUCUUAGCAAUAUAUAUACCAUUUUGUCAUAAGAACCAGGUGAAGGUGUGUGAUUAGAAUAAAUUCAUUCUCAGUGGAGGAAGGACAGUUCUCUAGAUACAAGCCCAGUGGAAUUUUUGGCAAGUGGUGUCAUCAUCAAGUGAAAGACAGAUAACUUCCUUUAGCACUUUUACAAGUACACUUAUAUUUUCGUAGAUGUUUAAAGUAUUGAAUAUUAUAGCAGGCAUUUAUUUUUCUUUUUGUUUUCUUGCAUCU